Long non-coding RNA from Lates calcarifer (barramundi perch), 932 nucleotides. RefSeq lists it as uncharacterized. Lineage: Eukaryota; Metazoa; Chordata; Actinopteri; Centropomidae. The record is from RefSeq and is a predicted model, not a curated record. The transcript has 4 exons.
AGUUCAAAGGUGACUGCUGGGGGAUUUCUGUCUUGACUGACUCCAAAUAAUGUCAGGAAAUACCAUAACUCCCAGACUGAACGUGAAGAAAUGCACUGAGAUAAGUUGACACUACAAGAAUGGGGUGCUGUGUUUCCUUCAGGUGAUUUAAUCCUUUCAUAACCGAGCAUGACUGAGCAGAAUUGCUGGAAAUGCUGAGCUGAUGCCUGAGAGCGAGGCUAACCUGGACCAGACUAAUCUGGAGCCCCUGAACUGGGACACGGCGACAGAAGAGCAUGUCUCACUGACCUUUAACUACGUGGCACCAUCAGAGACAACUAUCCAAUGUACAAUACACCAGACCAACAAGAUGAGUCAGCACCAGUAUCUUCUGCCAGGUUAAAACUUAGUGUAUAUGGUGUACAGGUAUAUGAAACAAGAAGACGAUGCAAACUGAGACAACACGGUUUUCAUUGUACAUUUGAUAAAGCAGAUUAAACUGGCUGCAACCAGUCCAGACAUGGAAUGCACUAGAAACAUUUGUUGGCCUCACCUUGUUGGGUGUGGCUGUGCUCCAAAGGCAGCAAGAUGCUCUCAAACUGCUGCAUCAUCUACACUACAUCAGAUGGUUUUUGCAGGUUUGUUUGUUGAUUUAUCUUGUGUCCUUUGCCAACUAACUGUAUAAACUGCACUCCAGUUUCUGGUUAAUACUGGUAGUAUUUCCCUCUCAGGUUCCUGUUGACCAGUUUCAUUGUAUGAUGUGUUUUUAAUGCUAACUAAAGUGACUUUUGCUUAAAUGUAAAAGACAGUUUCUUAUACAUUCUCCAUUCAGUAUUUAGUAACAGUGUGUAGUAUUCAGUACACACUGCAAUAAUGACAUUCAGUAAUCAGAGGGGUUAAAAUGCUUGACCAAAAGUUAAUCUUUAAUUAAAAUACCAUUCUCUUGAAUCUGA